GGGGGCGAUUCGGCUUCGACGCACAUUGCAAAACCGGAGGCGCAUGCCGAGCAGGUGGCUAAACUCGUUAAACUUGCCGCAAACCAAUAGUUGCCAACCAAGACAACUACGCAUUAGCGGCCUAAAAAACCGGCUAUGCCUUCCGCCCGGCGGUGCUUGUAACGCCGGAGCGGGAGUCAUUUUUACAAGCUCGCCGGACGGCUGGUUCGCGGCCUGCCGGUUAAACUCCUAAUGCGGACAGCCUGGCCGGAUUUUUUGUCCGUCAAAAGCGGCCAGGAUACGAAGACGGACUAAGCAUGUAGUGCCAAAGGCGGAGAAUGGGCGGACGCGGGUUCGAUUCCCGCCGCCUCCACCA
Molecule: transfer-messenger RNA, 355 nt
Filed under: Gammaproteobacteria bacterium
Lineage: Bacteria; Pseudomonadati; Pseudomonadota; Gammaproteobacteria
Rfam family: transfer-messenger RNA
About the family: Bacterial tmRNA, also known as 10Sa RNA or SsrA, is named for its dual tRNA and mRNA-like properties. Its role is to liberate the mRNA from a stalled ribosome.
Source: RNAcentral